Molecule: non-coding RNA, 75 nt
Organism: Cordylochernes scorpioides
Lineage: Eukaryota; Metazoa; Arthropoda; Arachnida; Pseudoscorpiones; Chernetidae
Source: the annotation of a GenBank genome assembly
GUCCAGGGAUGGGAAUCGAACCCAAACAGUGUUCCGCUUACCGGACAGAUGCCAUGUCCACUAGGCUACCCUGGA